RNAcentral lists this ribosomal RNA (114 nucleotides) under Xenisthmus clarus. RNAcentral describes it as "partial 16S ribosomal RNA". The record is from RNAcentral. Lineage: Eukaryota; Metazoa; Chordata; Actinopteri; Gobiiformes; Xenisthmidae.
UUUUCCAAACAGCUAGCUCGCCCACCCAAAACAACAAAACCACAUCAAUAAACCCACAUAUCCAUAACAAACUAAACAAAGCAUUUUUCCGUCUUAGUAUAGGAGAUAGAAAAG